RNAcentral lists this ribosomal RNA (497 nucleotides) under uncultured bacterium. RNAcentral's name for it is "partial 16S ribosomal RNA". It matches the Rfam family "Bacterial small subunit ribosomal RNA", at positions 28 to 507 of the family's 1533-position model. The record is from RNAcentral.
GUUGAACGCUGGCGGCGUGCCUAAUACAUGCAAGUCGAGCGAACAGACGAGGAGCUUGCUCCUCUGACGUUAGCGGCGGACGGGUGAGUAACACGUGGAUAACCUACCUAUAAGACUGGGAUAACUUCGGGAAACCGGAGCUAAUACCGGAUAAUAUAUUGAACCGCAUGGUUCAAUAGUGAAAGACGGUUUUGCUGUCACUUAUAGAUGGAUCCGCGCCGCAUUAGCUAGUUGGUAAGGUAACGGCUUACCAAGGCGACGAUGCGUAGCCGACCUGAGAGGGUGAUCGGCCACACUGGAACUGAGACACGGUCCAGACUCCUACGGGAGGCAGCAGUAGGGAAUCUUCCGCAAUGGGCGAAAGCCUGACGGAGCAACGCCGCGUGAGUGAUGAAGGUCUUCGGAUCGUAAAACUCUGUUAUUAGGGAAGAACAAAUGUGUAAGUAACUAUGCACGUCUUGACGGUACCUAAUCAGAAAGCCACGGCUAACUGCGUG